CAGCAGCCGCGGUAACACGAACCGUGCGAACGUUAUUCGGAAUCACUGGGCUUAAAGCGCGUGUAGGCGGGCCGCCACGUCGGCUGCUGAAAUCCCCCGGCUCAACCGGGGAAGUGGCACCGAUACGAGCGGCCUCGAGGGGGGUAGGGGGCACUGGAACUUCCGGUGGAGCGGUGAAAUGCGUUGAGAUCGGAAGGAACGCCCGUGGCGAAAGCGAGUGCCUGGACCCUUUCUGACGCUGAUACGCGAAAGCCAGGGGAGCGAACGGGAUUAGAUACCCCAGUAGUCCCUGUCUCUUAUU
This 301-nucleotide ribosomal RNA is filed under the name uncultured bacterium. Its description in RNAcentral is "partial 16S ribosomal RNA". It matches the Rfam family "Bacterial small subunit ribosomal RNA", at positions 509 to 807 of the family's 1533-position model. The record is from RNAcentral.